GACGAACGCUGGCGGCGUGCUUAACACAUGCAAGUCGAACGAGGUUCAGCCGACCCUUCGGGGAGAGCGAAAAUCUAGUGGCGAACGGGUGCGUAACACGUGAGAAACCUGCCCCGGACUUGGGAAUAACAGUCGGAAACGGCUGCUAAUACCGAAUAUCUCCGUAGCGUCGCAUGGCGCAUCGAAGAAAGCUUUUGCGGUCUGGGAGGGUCUCGCGGCCUAUCAGCUAGUUGGUGAGGUAACGGCUCACCAAGGCAUCGACGGGUAGCUGGUCUGAGAGGAUGAUCAGCCACACUGGGACUGAGACACGGCCCAGACUCCUACGGGAGGCAGCAGUGGGGAAUAUUGCACAAUGGGCGAAAGCCUGAUGCAGCAACGCCGCGUGCGGGAAGAAGGCCUUAGGGUUGCAAACCGCUUUCAGCAGGGAAGAAAAUGACGGUACCUGCAGAAGAAGGUGCGGCCAACUACGUGCCAGCAGCCGCGAUGACACGUAGGCACCAAGCGUUGUCCGGAUUUAUUGGGCGUAAAGAGCUCGUAGGCGGUUCAGUAAGUCGGGUGUGAAAACUCUGGGCUCAACCCAGAGACGCCACCCGAUACUGCUGUGACUUGAGUA
Molecule: ribosomal RNA, 613 nt
Filed under: uncultured bacterium
Lineage: Bacteria
Description: bacterial SSU rRNA
Rfam family: Bacterial small subunit ribosomal RNA
Source: RNAcentral